Non-coding RNA from Camellia sinensis, 323 nucleotides. The record is from RefSeq and is a predicted model, not a curated record. NCBI's taxonomy places the organism in Eukaryota, Viridiplantae, Streptophyta, Magnoliopsida, Ericales, Theaceae.
UGUUGCAGGUGCGCAAGUUCAGCAAACACUGCAGAAGUUGUGAUAAAUGUGUGGAUGGAUUUGAUCACCAUUGUCGAUGGCUCAACAACUGUGUAGGGAGAAAAAACUACCUAACUUUCAUUUCUCUUACGGCCACUAGUCUCGUUUAGAUGUUUUUGGACAUACAAAAGUGGAUAUGUUUUUGUUGACAAGUACGUGAGGACAUUGUGGUACAAAAGUGGAUAUGUUUUUAUAUAGUGGUUUGUACAAAAUAUUUUUUUGGUAGAGUAAAUAUCAGCUAAUUUGGUAGAAAUUAACAUAGCACGUGGUACAAAAUAGUUUUG